CCUUCAAUAGUGCAACUUUUAAAUAAUCCCAUUUUUCUGGGUUCAUUCCUGUAUUCCGUUCCAGGAAUUCCGAUUCUCUUGGAUUCCUUUAAAUGUUUGUUUUAUGUUGCCACACCCGUUCCUUUUCCAUGAUCCUUUUGUUUCAGUUGGUUCCUGCAGGCAGUUGCUACAAGUCCUCUGCCCAUUUCUUACAGGUAAGUGCUGUGUGUGUUUUAUUAUUGUUUAUUUAGUCAUGCAUAUCUAGGCAGAUAGGUCCCACCUUAAUUGGAGUACUUUGACGCAGUGGUGGGCUGCAUACAUCUUGGCCAUUUAUGUAUGUUGAAAUCUCCAAUGUUUUACAUAUAGUAUUUAGUUAAGUCUCCUUUUUUUGCCGUGUAUCUCGUCCUGUAUUCCCAGUUCAUGUACAGUCUUGUUCUGCCCUGUUCAUUCUUUCCUCAUGUCUUGUGUACAUGUUCUGGGUUCUGCUUUCUGUCCUGCUCCGGUUCUGGGUUCUCCUAGUUUUGUCUUGUUUGGUGUCUAGUCUUGCCUUGUUUCUGUACUGGAUACAUAUCUGCUGGAAAGCCUCCCUAUUCAGAUCCUGGGAGGUCUGCUUAUUGUCAUCUGGUACCUGGGUUCUGCAGUAGCUGCAUCGGGGCCCUGCACAAACGCUGGUGCUCAACACUAGGGGGCGUGUGGUUACCCUGCACCUGGCCCUAAUUAUCCAUUUCCACAUAGUGACUCCUAAUAUCAAGAUCAGGCAUACUGGGUCCCGGUCACCGGACCACCACCCCUGACAGUUACAGGAUUGUGUUCCUAACCCUAUAGCGAUCCUUUAAAUGCCUAAUAUGUCAAGGAUCUAAACUAAUGUUUAGUUAUUAGUGCUAGCAACCCCUCCAACACUAUACCAAUCAUACUCCUUUCCCUCUACUUACACUGACCAUAUACCUACCCUAACUUUAUCCAUACAUGUAACUUUACACUAUAGCUAAUCCUAAAACAGCAUUAACACAAAUCUAUCAUUAAUUAACUCAUGGCUUACAUUAACCCUACAGUUAAUCCUAAGGAAACCCUCUGCUAAUAUCAGUAGAUGGGUUUCCUAGGUAAAACAGUAGGGAGUGGUAUGUUGCACCAAUCUACUGGCUUUUCCAGUAUUACAGGAACAUAUUCCUGUAAUAGUGAAUGAAGUAUGAUUUCUCAUCCGAUCACACUGAUCUGUGCUGGGCAUCUGACAAAGCCCAGCACCAAUUACAACUGGCUUGGGGACAUACAUCCUGGGACUCUAUCCUAAGCAGCUCACAGCCCUAGAAUCACCACAGCUAAGCGCGAUCGCUCAGUCACUGUGUUCUGAUUGGAUAUAAAGGGCUUUUUGCAGUGCUGAAUGGGGAGCCCAGGUAUCCACUGAUAUAGGGGUCUCCUGAUGUGAGCAAAACUUUAACCCUGUUUACACUGCAUUGCUAUAAGACUGAUUAAUGUGAAUAAAGUCUUUAAUCCAAUGUCAAAGGCAGCAUAGUACCUUCCUCUGUGCCUCCCAAG
Molecule: non-coding RNA, 1512 nt
Organism: Pelobates cultripes (western spadefoot toad)
Lineage: Eukaryota; Metazoa; Chordata; Amphibia; Anura; Pelobatidae
Source: the annotation of a GenBank genome assembly